Molecule: long non-coding RNA, 9106 nt
Filed under: Ananas comosus (pineapple)
Lineage: Eukaryota; Viridiplantae; Streptophyta; Magnoliopsida; Poales; Bromeliaceae
Description: long non-coding RNA (ACOM_LNC006585)
Source: RNAcentral
UUUCCUUCCAAGUUGCACAACUCUCACUCUCUCUCUUUUCUCUCUAUCUCUCUCUCUCUCUCACUCUCUCUCUCUCUCUCUUAUGCUUUUAAAAGCGAUGAGUCACUAAUGCUCUUAGGAUUUUGGUCUUUGGAUAAAGAUUUAUAAAUUUAGGAUAAUAAUAGUCCUCUAUGAUUGAGUUGGUUGUUGAUAUAAUACCAUUAUCUAAGGAAUAGAAUUGGUCAAAACAAUCUCUAACAGUGAAAAAUUUAUAAACACCAAAUAUUUAAAAAUUUUAAAAGCACCAUAGUUGUACUAUAUAUAUAUAGUAGAGAUACUAUACUUUAGAAAGUAUAAAGAAAUUGAUGCUUUCGAUUUUUUAACUCUUAAAUAAAAAAUUAUAGAAUUAAAAUGAUAGUGUUUCCCCUUAGGACUUAGUAGAAUGUGUAUGUAUAUAUAUAAGAGACAGAGAGUUGAGCUGGAAAACUAUAAGUAGCAAACGAACUUCGUUGUCAUCCAUUUAUUUUCGAUGAUGAAACCUUCAAAUCGAUAAUCGGCAUCGUUGAACAUAAUCUAUAUCACUUGAAAUAUCUAGAAAUCAAAUUUUAUAUUUUUUCAAUAUUGUUCUCUUAUCCAUCAAGCGGACGUAAAAAUAAAUGGCGGAAAAUAAAUAUCCUCUAAAAAAUGAUGAUAAAAAUUUUAUAAUCAAGAUAAAGAAUAUAGAUCUUGUUCUAAAUAGUUUAAAAAAUUUUCUAACCAAAAUUUAAUUGAUUUGAAUAGCUUUACACCAUUAAACGAGAAAAUGUCUCAUAUCUACCAUUAAAAUUAUAAAUAUUAAAACCAUUUGAUCAUUAGGUCAAAAUGUCAAAAAGAUUCAAAAUUUAGUUUCUAGAUGCUUCAAGUGGUAUAGAUCAUGUUCAACGGUACCGAUCGUUAAUUUAAAUACUCCAUCAUCGUAAACAAAUGGGUGGCAACGGAACCAGUUUGCUACCGAUAGCAUUCCAACUAAACUCUCUCUCUCUCUCUCUCUCUCUCUCCCUCUAUAUAUAUAUAUAUAUAUAUAUAUAUAUAUAUAUAUAUAUUCCUAAUUGUAAAUACUUUUUAUCUUUGAAUUACAAAACUUGGUCUAAUUGACAUUCAUUUAUUUAUUUUUCUAUAGGAAACUAAAUUACAGAAAAAGAAAGUACAUAAUAGUAAACGAAGACAUUUCUAAGUGGCGCAUAACUCAUUGUAAAAACAAAAUUUUCAGAUCACAGGAGCAUAUACUCAAUCGAAGUAACCUCCUAACCAAAAGAAAAGGACACAAACAUGACAUAAAAAUAGGUAUCUUCUCAAUCAUUUAUUAACCCCACAGCUACAUUUGUUAAAGAGUAAUAGCAAUUUUCUAAGUCCAACACAGUUCCAGCUGUUGAAAAGAACAAAAAGAAUAAUGGUGCUCGUUACUGCCACAUCCCUUCGGCUACUACCACCACCUUUCACAUGCAGUGCUUAAUGCUUAUGCAUAUAGACAAGUGGGGCACAUUCAGAAUAGACUUUAGUCAAUGUAUAAAACCUUAUACAACGUUUCUCACAAGAUAUCCAGCAGGAUAUAGAUUUAUUUUUAAGCCACUUGUUCCCAGCGACAACUAAGCUUCUCAUUCUAAUUUUAGGAGUGUAAUGCUCAACCCCAAUUAAAGUUGCUAUUAUGCCUCAUUGACCAGGGAGUUUGGUAAACAUAAAAUCUACAGCUGCUGAGAGCGGAAAAUCUAACAAUGUCUCGAGCCCAAACAUCAGCGAGAGUGUUACAUAUAAAUAAAUAUUAAACACCGAGGAGCGAACAAGGAUGACACCAUGCGAGCACCUACCACAGUGGAAUAUCAUUUGUCUGUUGUACCAUCCUCAUAUAACAACUUAUCCAUUCAAUUGCGAGAAACAAAUGAAACUUCCAUGAUAUAUACGCACCAGUUCAACUUAAACUAUUCACAAAAAGCACUUUACAUUCAGCUUCUACGGUUUGACACCAAACUAGUAACACUUCUGUACACUAUAUCAAGCAAGAAAAUGUUAACACGAGGUUGUUAAGGAGAGUUAGCAAAAGGAAAAGAUUUCAUUACCACAAGGUCAGGGUCAAAUUUGGCUCCAUCUUUGAGUUACCUAGAUGUUUCACCGCACCGAGCAAAUUGGGGUUUGAUAUCCCUGCUCCGCAUGUACGUCAAGAAUUGUCCUGGCAGCUCUUCAAGAAGAGAUUGAACGAUGGAGACCUGACCACCUGUAUAGCAUAAGCAUAUAGGUGUAAGAUUAAUACAAUCCACAUCAUUAAUUUAGUCCCUGAAGAUCAGCCCUAAUUCCACUUUCGUCCUUUGAAAAUUCAAUUUCGUCCUCAUAUUUUCAAUGUUAAAAAUUAUUCCGUGAAGUCUGACCCCAAUUUCAAAGGGUUCGAUUCAAAGGGCUUAAUUGUUACAUACAGCAAACUUAACAAACUUCAAGCACUUACCUCAACAAAAAUAAUAAUAAUAAUAAUAAUAAUAAUAAUGAUCAAGCAUUAAAGUGUCAAAAUUGGAAUUAUGAGAACGAAAUUGAAAUUGGGGGUCAAACUUUAGCCACUUUGUAACUAAUCCUAAUCUAUCUGUUGAUGAUGCUUCAACAGCAAUAAGCAUGGUCUCUUUGAUUUGAAUUUCCUAUCCUUGAAUGAGGCAGAUUACAACUUUCUCUUCAAAAUAAAUUGAAGAAGAGAUUAAGAGAAUUAUAUAACUUAAAAGCUGGUACAGAUCAGUACGGCAACGACAGAAACUCAGAAAAGUACAUUGUAAUCACUACUCACCCUGGACCUCCCGCAUAGGAACAAAUUGUACGAUGUCUCGCGUAGCUACCCGUCCAGUAGAGCUCUCCAGCCGUUUUCCAUUAUCAGCAUCAAGGAUCUAAUCAAAUAGAAUUUGCAAAUGGAAAAUUAUUAUACUAAAGAGAGGAAAUUUAAGAGCCAAGGAAUUACAGCGUUAUUACAAACCACCAAGCGCAUACCAAAGGGAAAAUGAUAUAACAAUAGUACAAAAGUUACUGACAUUGCACUAAUAAAAGCCAUUCUGAAAUUAACCUUUUCCGCGCAAUGAAAAAUAACUAUAAUUAUACCUCCAUAUCUUUGAAAUCAGCAGUUCCAACACCUACUAUGAGAAUCGAUAAUGGCAAAUCAGAUGCCCUUACAAUAGCAUCUUUCGUUUCCUGUGUGUCAGUGAUAACUCCGUCCUGAAAAGGAGAUAAAUAACUAAACACUAGAAACAAGGGGAAAAAACAGAAACAGGUAGAGAUCCAGACAACUAAAACUACACCAUAUAUAGCUCUCACCGUGAUAAUAAGUAAGAUGAAAUAUUUGUUCUGGAUAACUGCUAGGGAUCGGCUAGCAAUUUCUGCAGCUUUGUUGAUCACUGGCCCAAAUAAAGUCGGCCCAGCAAGAGAAACACUGUGUAGGGCGGAUGAGUAUGCCGACAUGAUGCCCUCAAUUCCCACAACCUGUGGCAACAGAAAACUUUAUUCUGCAAAACCGUUGUUCUUUCUUUCUACUUGCAAUAGUCUUAUGCUAUUCUUAAUAGGCUCAGUCUAUUUAGUCACUACAUCAUGGAAGAACUAUGUAUUGUAUAACAAAAGGUAUGAAAACAUUGAACUUUGAUGCUCUGACCUCACACUCAGAAGCCAUUCCAUUCAAGUUAAAACAAUGAGAGACUGAGCCAUCAAUAGUUCUUCCUCCAAAGCCCCAUGCAGGAAAGUGCCUAUCCGAGUCAUAGAAUUGUAAAACCUCCCCAACUCCCACUAUGGCCUUCAAAGAAAGAAGAAAAUGAAAAAGAAUAAAAAUGAGACAAAAGAGAUGAAUCUUAACCAUUAAAUUAAAGAUGUGUAAGCUGAAUAUGCAAUUAGCCACUAGAACAAGAAAGGAAACUUCACCUGCUGAUAUGAAUUCAGUCUACCAGAAGGAUCAAUGUAGUGCAAGGAUUGGGGCAUUCGAGGAUCACCAUUUGAAGCUGAAUAAUUAUAAGUAUUAGCAGUAAGCCAAUGCACACAGGAUACCUUGGUAGGAAAGAGGAUUAUAAAUGCAAGCAAAUAACUACGCAAGUAAACAAUUGCUUACCAGUAAAAUCUAUGGCAACCAUAAAGUUAAGUUCAAAGCCACUGGAGAUAUAGUCCAAGAAACUAUAUAGAGUUUUUUCAACAAAUUUAUCCACAAAAAUCUGCCCCUUCAGCAUCUGCAACAAAUUCAAAUUGUGAAGCAGAUUAAAUAUUUAAUCUGCCAAACAAAAAACCUGCAGAAAAAAGUUCUCAGAAAGCAACUGUAAUUACCGAGUACCUUUGUGUUGUCAUGACGAAUGGACGAUGGAACAUAAAAAUUUGCUCCAAUCUUUUCUCUGCUAAGCCUUUCUAUUUCUGCAACACUUGCCUGAAAUUUUCUGCUCAAAUGAUAGGACAUAACAUCUAAAGUGGAAAGCAAAGGAGCGUACAAAAGAGCAUUGUAUCGUAGAGAGUAUAACUAACAAUUUACCCUAAAAGGUCAUGCUUGCCAUUGGCAUUGAAGUCAAAACACUCGAUCAUCAGUGGGUUCUCCUGCAAAUGACCAAAAGUUCACAAUAAAGCUUACACCUAAGAUACAUGUGAAUUAUUGAUUUCAAUCAAGACGUGUCCAUGCAUUACCUUGCUUCCAAACUGUUGUGUCAUCAGUGUCACGGGCUUCCAGAUGGGGUUCAAGUUAUCAUUGAUCACUUCUGUCUUGCAAAUAGGAAUAGAAGCACCUGAUUCCACUAUUCUAGAUAUUCUUAAGAAGGGAUCCUACAACAAAAGGCAGAUAUACUUGAGAGGCCCAAUUAAAAGUAGAAUUAUGAAAAUAAACAUUUAUAUAUCAGUAAAGAUAUAUACAUAAAUACAAUUCCAUAAUUAUCUAUUCACAUACGUACGUAUUUUGGAAAAAUCUGAAUUUUCUUAUAUACUCCCCGAAAGUGCAAUCUAAUUAUUUAAAAAAAUGCCCUAUGGUUGAGAAGUCGUCCAAUUCACGGAGCAAGUAGGUUUGCAACAAGUAAAGUCUUUAAAAGGGAAGAGUGAGCAUGAGAAUUCAGACUUUUGAAGGGUAUAUGCACAUAAAUAGAUGAUUUCGCAGGAAGUGUACGUGUAAAAUCCCAAUCCGAUAUUUAUGUGAAAAGAAUGGUUUUUUAUACACUUUUUGAAAAGAGAUCCUUAUUUUCCAGGUUUGAACAGCGAAAUAUCAAUUCCACAGCCGUCCGUGACGCGACUGUUUCUUCUGCAUGGACCAUUAGGCUGCCCGAAAAUGUGCCUGCAGGCCCACUUUGAAGUUUAAGUGCCAAGCUCCGCUCAAACUUGGUAACAAUCUGCACAGGGCAAAAAAAGAUUAAAAAAAUAUUACGAGUAAACAGGAUUGCCAUAAAGAAGAAACAGGUAUUAAUAUAGAAGACGUUCUAAAAGCUAGGCCGAACAGACACAAAGUAAAUUUGCACAUCCUUCAACAGUACUUAAUUAACUACCAAAUUAUUCUGAUCAACAAAAUGAAAAGAGGGUUUCCUUGAGAGAUGGAGUGCACAACCUCUGAUAGCACACAAGAAGCUUCGCCCACAUAAUCUUGCUCGCUCAAUUUCAGCAUCUGUACAGGGUAAAUAAUGGUAAGUAUCUGAAUCCAGGUAUAGUCCUGAUAAAUUAAUUGAUCUGACAUGCAUAGGAGGGCCAAAUGCUUGCUUAUACCUUUAGUCAGAGAAUUAAGCUAAUAAUUAAUAAGGAAAAAAAAAUGGUAAUAUGAAAAAGAUGACAAAAGGCAACAAAACAUGUAAUGCAAUGCGACACUUACUAUUUUUCUUGCAUUAAACGUGUGAUAUACUAAACAAAGACCAAAGUCCUAAACUAUUACUAUUGCUAUUGAAUACUAGACCGAAAAGAAUAAUGGCCUGAAAAACGUUUAGAGAUGAUUUGUAAUAUUAAAUAAAUGUUAUUAACACGCUACAGAAUAUAUACAUACAUACACACACACACACACACACACACACACACACACACACACAUAUAUAUAUAUAUAUAUAUAUAUAUAUAUAUAUAUAUAUAUAUAUAUAGAUAUGAACUAUCAAAAAUCUACUAGGUUAUCAUGCUAAAUAAUUUUAGAAGGAAACUUUCGGAACCAGAUAUGCAGACCCCUUAAGAUUCUUACUGGAUCACAGCAGAGUGAAGAUAGCGAUGACAACAGUUUACUUUGUAGAUUUAAACAGAAGCAUGAUCAAGCUAACAGAUCGACUAGCCGAGAAAUUUUAUAUCUCCAGCAAUUGAAACUUCUAGUUCACAAAACAUACAAAAGAAUUGUCAUAAAGACAAAAAAAAGUUUAGCUUAACAAAUCCAAGAUGGAACAAGAAAACUUUUACAGAUAAAAAGCUCAUAGCAAGUCAAAUAAGUACUAAAAGAGAACGGUAAAAGAAUAUCUGCAAGUAUAUUUUAAAAAUAAGGCACUACUUUAUUGGUUAUUCGUAUAAUCCACUAAAUUGAAUUCUCAUAAAUAUAUUUUUUAUAACGCGAUUGAAUCCCUAUAAUAAAGCACAACUAUAAAAGAAGCAGCCAAUACCUUCACAGGUGUGCUGUGGUACUUAGUGUCAACAUCAUAGACCUGAAAACUAACGGGCAAGAAAAGGAGAUAAUAAGGAAAACACGCAAUAAGAGAUGCAAAAUGACAAUCUAAAGAAACUUACACCGAGGAGAAACUUACACCAAUGGUUGAACAAUCUCAAACUGAUAAUUGAUAAAAAAUUUAGUAAUCCAGGAAGGAUUCAACGAAUUCAAUAUAACUUCAGUACGGCCAAUUUCUUCAAGCCUUCCAUCUUGUUUCUUUGCAUAUAGUACAACCAUUGGAUCACUCUAGAGUGAAGCAAGAAAAAUAAUCAGUGCAGUCAAGAACCAUUUAAUGAAAAAGAUGAAAGACUUGUACUUCUUGGCAGUGCAGCUAACAACCAAAGAGAACUUUAGGUACAAUUAAUUGACAAAGCAACACAAGAAAGCUACAACAAGGCAAAUGGCCAUAUAUAUUCAACCUCUUCUUUCUUGGCAUAUAAUACUGCCGUUGGAUCACUCUAGAGUGGAGCAAGAAGAACAAUCAGUAAAGUCAAGAACCAGUUAAUGAAAAACAUGAGAGAUUUGUACAUCUCAGCAGCUAAGCAAACAACCAAAGAGAACUUUAGCCAGCGAAUUAACAAAUCAACAACGGAAAUCUACAACAAGGUAAAAGGCCAUAUAUACUUAGGAAAACGAGUAUCUCUCAAAUCUUAAGUUAAUGCAGUUAUCUAUCAUGAAGAUUGACCUUCAUAGCUCAGUUAAUAGCAGUUGCAGAAUAAAGCAUUACUUCCCACUCAAAUGACUAUGUAAUAUGAAGUCUAAAUGAGUAAGGCAGACCUCAUUAGUGAUUUAAUCCAUGAAGAGAAGACAGAGCGACAACAAUCUUUCAGCCAAAUGCAAGAUAACAUUCAACAUAAUUCUGAAGUAAAGUUACUAUUGACAUAACAUUCAACUAAAAAUGCUUUAACUCCAACUACAUGGUCAAAAACCAUACGAACUUCACACAAACAAGGAUAAAACUAGAUAGAUAACCUGGCAGCAUUAAUUUAGUAAAAAAGAUACACCCAGAAAACACAAGGUAGUUCAUAAAAUGUAUAUACUCAUGGAUCAAAUUAAGAAGCACACCUUUGAAAGUAUGUCCAGGUUCCGCAACUUUGAAGCAGACAAUGAUAACUGAACAACAAAUAUUAUCAAGAAAAAUGUAUAAGAACUGUCCGUUAGUGGCAAAGAAAGUGCAAAACUCCCCUAAUCACAUUGUUAAUUAUUGUAUAUUUGUCCAGAUACAAAGAAAGAGGAACAAUAAUUAUCUUCAGCAAAUCAAUCAAAACUAUAUGAUCUUGUGACACUCCCUUUUAUCAACUAUGGAAACCGUCAACCUAGUCACAGUCAUGAUCUUUCAAUGCGUAUUUCAUUUCAACAUUCUGAAUAGACAAAACUUGGUUCACUUCAUCAAAUCUCUAAGAUGACUAUAAAACUAAAACCAAAGAAAAUUCAAGAAAUUGAUAAAUAGAGACCUGCAUAUGAUCAAAUAUUAUCAUCAAAUGAAUCAAAAGCUAACAAAUCACGCCACAUAAUUUAGAUCGGUUGAGGCACUUGAUGAAUUUAUCCAAGCCCACACAGCAUGAUCAAGAAUCGUCAAAAAACACGUUAUCCCAACCAACCAAAUGAAUUCUUCAACCGUACAGCUCAUCCUCGAACCAAAAUUCGCAUGUUUCGAGGGCACUCCCCACAAAGACACAUUCCAAUCCAGUACUUGAAACUCACAGAGAGAUCCACUCCCACUCCCCCACUCAUCAACUAUUUCCGAGCUUAAUUAUGGUGCAAGCACGAACGCGAAGAAGCGUCAAGAAUCUAGGGUUUUGGGGGGCGCGAGCUCACCUCGAGGGGGACGUAGAGGCCGCGGAGGCCGCGGGAGCGGAAGUAGUGGUCGACAGCGUCGCUCGCCUCGCCCUGCGCCGCCUCCGGCGGCGGCUGGGCCCCCGCGCACGUCGGAGAAGCACCCACCCAUCUCUCGCUACUGUGUACUUCGUUUUGCCACUGUAGUUUAUGUGAGUUAGAUCUACAUUCGUUAGAUUAUACUAUUCAACCAACCACCCACACAAUCUUAGGGGCCCACAUCAAUAUAACCAUAAAUUUCUUAAUCUAAUGGCUAAAAAUAUACAAACACAAAUAAUUUAAUAUUUUUAAAAGUAUAAAAACUCAAUUUUAUAUAUAUAUAUAUAUAUAUAAAAUUGAGCUUCUAUGCUUGUAAAAGCACAAGUCAUUGGUGCUUGUAAGUUUUUAGCUUUUGGAUUAAGAAAUAUGCGGUUAGGAUGAUAGUGGUCUCCUAAAGUUGAGUGGUUAGCUGAUUGAAUAGUAUGAUCUAAUAAAUAAAAAUGAUCAAAAAAGUAGAUUUAACAGUAAAAAACUUACAAACACCAAUGGUAUAUAUAUAUAUACAUAGACGAAGUAACGGAGGAGAUUUGGGAAAAUGAAAGGAAAAUGAGGAAAAGCGCGUCUAAUUGAAUAAAGCUUCCUAUUUUAGGGAACGCGUGUUUACUGAGAGAGACGCUGUCGGAGAAAUUUAAAUUU